RNAcentral lists this long non-coding RNA (1217 nucleotides) under Mus spicilegus (steppe mouse). RNAcentral describes it as "lncRNA (ENSMSIG00000014191.1)". The record is from RNAcentral. Lineage: Eukaryota; Metazoa; Chordata; Mammalia; Rodentia; Muridae.
CUGGGACAUCUGGCGUGGGCUCCUGUCAGCCUGAUGAUAUCUGGAGCAUAGACACCACAACCAGAAGCAACGUGGGGUGGAAAGAGUUUAUUUCAGCUGAAAACCCCCAGGUUACAGCGUGGAGAGUCAGGGAAGAAAGUGAAGGCAGGAACUGAAGCAGAGGCCCCAGAGCAACGCGUUUAUCGGAUUGCUCUACAGUUUGCUUUCUUUUCUACCCAUCCCCCACCCCACCCCACCCCCAAGAGGAACAAGGGAAGCUGGAUCUUUCGCGGGCAAGAGAGAGUGCACACUGAGAACGGAGAAAGCCGCGGGACAAACCGUCACAAAAACAAAACACAAACAAACCCCCAGAGACCAACGGCAAGCUGGGUAAGCAGACCCUCGCUGGACAAGCAUGAAGAAAACCGCGAUUGCUCGGGCCAGCAAAACUUGGAGGCUUAAAGGAAAAAAAGAAAGAAAGAAAAAAAAAUUAACCCCCAGGAAGCACCCCUGUGAGGAGGGCAAAAAGUAGUGCGCAGGGAGGCACGAGGCAGAAUGACCGGAACACACCAGGCACGGACCACCGUGAGAGGUGGACAUAACUGGCACACCAGUGCCAACCCGUCUGGAAAAGGAAGCCUUGCUGGAGCAGGUCCCUGGCAUCUGACCAUUCUUUCACCAAAUGAUCUGUGGCUCAAAAUGUUUUCCAAAUACCAAGAAUUCACCCUGAAAGACUCUGGGCUGAAUUUCCGAUCACAUAUCCUGUGAUACAGAAGAACAUUGUCUUCUGUAUCUUCUGCCUCACUGUAUCUUCUGUAUCUUCUGUAUCUUCUGCCUCACUGUCUCCAGCUUGCAGCCCGCCUGAGGAUCUUCCCAACACCUCCAAGGCCUGAAGCAGAGCCUGAGGAACCUCCUGGGAACAUUCCCCUGCAUCCACCCCCAUCGCUGGCGAGACAGUUGGACAGCUUGUGUUUGCACAUUCGGCCCCCACAGCUAGGCUUCCUUAGGUCCACCCACUUCCCCCUCCUGCCUUACAGUCCCUGGGAGUUCCCAGCCUAAUUGAGUCAGCAGAAGUGUGUGUGACUACAACUGGCCUACUCUUGUGCAACUUGGAACUUGGAACUCCUCCUGAGGUAGGGAGCCCCGGCUCUGAACAAGACUUUUCUGAAGCCUCAUACUGUUUAGCGAUGUGUUUCUAUAUAUACAUUUCUAUGGCCAGUGUCACAGUUCCCUGUAUA